This 460-nucleotide ribosomal RNA is filed under the name uncultured bacterium. RNAcentral describes it as "partial 16S ribosomal RNA". It matches the Rfam family "Bacterial small subunit ribosomal RNA", at positions 338 to 795 of the family's 1533-position model. The record is from RNAcentral.
CCUACGGGUGGCAGCAGUGAGGAAUAUUGGUCAAUGGACGAGAGUCUGAACCAGCCAAGUAGCGUGAAGGAUGACUGCCCUAUGGGUUGUAAACUUCUUUUAUAUGGGAAUAAAACGUUCCACGUGUGGGAUUUUGUAUGUACCAUAUGAAUAAGGAUCGGCUAACUCCGUGCCAGCAGCCGCGGUAAUACGGAGGAUCCGAGCGUUAUCCGGAUUUAUUGGGUUUAAAGGGAGCGUAGGUGGAUUGUUAAGUCAGUUGUGAAAGUUUGUGGCUCAACCGUAAAAUUGCAGUUGAAACUGGCAGUCUUGAGUACAGUAGAGGUGUGCGGAAUGCGUGGUGUAGCGGUGAAAUGCUUAGAUAUCACGAAGAACUCCGAUUGCGAAGGCAGUUCACUGGACUGCAACUGACACUGAGGCUCGAAAGUGUGGGUAUCAAACAGGAUUAGAUACCCCAGUAGUC